This is an RNA transcript of Notolabrus celidotus (New Zealand spotty), 3211 nucleotides long. It is a transcript of the gene named tumor protein p53 inducible protein 13, with no coding region annotated. The transcript has 10 exons. Lineage: Eukaryota; Metazoa; Chordata; Actinopteri; Labriformes; Labridae. The record is from RefSeq and is a predicted model, not a curated record.
CAAUUACGUAACUUGACAGCUGUGCUUUGAAGAAGAGUGAGAAGUUGAAAACAUUUCAGAAUUUACCUCCCGAUAACUGAACCGCUCAGGGUUCUGAAACUGUGUCAUGUAGAAGAACUAUUACUUUCCCGCAGCUGGUUUUAUUCACAGACAGACAGCAGCGGAAACACGACACCCAGGGACGGCUACAUUUCAAAGCAACAUUUGUAGACUUUGCUUUGUUGUGAAACUUUGUGAGGGCUGUUUGUGCGCAUGCAUUCUGUGAUGUGAUUUCUUUAACACUCAUGGAGUAGUUAGACACCAAAGGAAGACAUGAAAAGCUGACUGGUGUUUUUGUCAGACUUUAAGGACUGACUGGUUCUCGACUUGUUAAGCACAACGAUGCCCCCAUCGCUGACAGGGACUCUGCUGGUCGCGCUUUGGGUCGUCCUGGUUCGGUGCGGUGUGUCAGAGUCCCAGGGGCCACAAUGCGACAAUGGAAAGCUGUCUCUGGAUAAGGACCUCCCUGAGAGUGCGCUUUAUUUGGACUGUCCGGGUACGCCUUGGCUGGAGCCCAGUCAGCGACCUCCCCGUAUCAUUGACAGAUGGUAUGAUCCUGAGCCAGCCAGGCAGAUAUGCAUGGAUAAAUCUAUUUCCUACAAACAUACUAUUCCAAACAGUGGAGCGUUCAGACCAGUAAGGGCAGAGAGUGGAGAGUACUUGUAUUGUCCUCCUCAACGCUGGCUCAAUAACUUAAACCAUGCAGCUAUUGUUUUGCUCUACCAUCCCUGUGCUCCUCUACGCGAACGUCUACUUCUGUCUGCCCUGGCUCGAUCCUGUCUGCCAGACUACAUCAUCACUCCACACAAACAGCUGAAUACACACACACCAAUAGUCUUGGUAUCCUGGGGUCGCACUUUGGAGCUUUCAACCAUGGCCACUUUAGACGUCUGUGAUUGGCUGGAGACAAUAUCAUCCACAAGAAAUGAGUCUGGUGAUUCAAGCAAGAGCAGAAACUACAACUUGUUGUUAACCUUGUCAGCUGAGGCCGACAGAAGGGGACAUGCACAUCCAGAGGAAGACCCAGCAAAAAUGAAGGAGCCUCUGAGGCGAUGCUGUGAGCAGACCAUCUUCUCUUUGCCGAAUGGAGCUGUUGAACCAGAGGAACAGUCACACAUGAAGAAGGAAAGCUUGAAACACUUGAAAGAGAAAGGCAGAAUCCGGCACGUAAGAUCUAGCAUGAGAGGAAAACAAAGGAGUAAUAUGGAUGAGGACACGAAAGAAAACAGAACUCAUGUUUCCAGGUUUUUGUCCAACCAAACCAACAAAACCCUGUUUAAUAGAACAGGGGAUGCCCGGAACUACAAUUUCACACUUGGAUCACCAACAGAUUUGCCUUCAGAGAACAGGACUCUCUCAGGACAAAAAACAGUAUGGCAGCUCAGUCUUAAGAAUGCUAGUCGACAAAAACUUUCAAUAGGAUUUGGUUCCCUUGAAGAUAGUGUGAACAGUGAACAUAAACAUACUGCUACACCUGCCAUGCAUUCGAAAAAUGAAGGUACCUACUCCACCAAAUUAAGACAUAAAGACUCUGCCAACCACCCCAUGGAAUACAAUGGCAACCAAGAGAAAAACUCUGAUCAAAAGAACACAGAAGGUGACACAGUGGAUUAUAAAGUUGGAGAUAUUAAAGAGAGAGAGUUGAAGCAGCGACACACACACAGUGCCACAAACUCACACAACAAAAGCGAGAGCAAAGUCAAUGCUGCUGUUGUAAAUAAGGGGUCGUCGAGGAUCCAGAGGAAUGAUGAGGCAUUGUGGGCCGCGGCAGCACUCGGCUUCCUGCUGGUUCUCUUGACCCUGUCAGUGCUCCACACACGCCUGUAUCGUCACUGGAGGACAUCGCCAAGUCUUUACUGGCAUGACCCACAACAGGAGUAUGACAGCGUGGCAGAUGUAAUCCGCAGGAGGAUACGAAUCGCAAAGAGGAGGCUGAAAAGGGGCAGACGAAAGGAGUGUGUUUUUAUUCCAAGCUCCUCCAGCUCAGAUGAACACCCAUGAAUAAAUGAAGGAAACAUUUGCACAAAUGUCAAUAAUGCAUGCAAGUCCCCCGGCAAGUGGAAGAGGUUGGCGACCUGUCCAGGGUGUACCCUGCCUUCUGCCUGAAGUCAGCUGGGAUUGGCUCCAUCCCCCCGUGACCCCGAAACGGGAUACGCGGUCAAGAUAUUGGAUGGAUGGAUGGAUGAACAAGCAUUGUCUUAGGAACAAUUUUAUUACAAAACUACUGUCCAAAAAUACACUCUUCAGAGAAUAUUGCAAAAGGAGCUGGUGUGUCUAAACAGUCUUUUAACCCUUUUAAACUUUGACCCUAUGAAUACCAAAUCAAUCAGUCCACCAGUUAAUCAGUAAUUCAAUCAAUCAAUUUCUAUUUCUCUUUACAAACAGAAUAGAGGAAAACUAUACUCUUUGUUGUAUUAUUUAAAGUAAUUAAUCCAUCAUGAGCAAACAACUUGCCACAGUUGGAAAGUAACAAUUGCCAGGAAAUACUUCCUUUUAAUGGGCAUAAACCUUGGGCAGACCAGACACGUGAUAAACAGCCAUUUGCAGGAACAGCAAAGUAGGAUAAUUGACCGAUCGGUCUAAUGUUAACAUUAAAAACCAUAAUGACAAUAAUAUGGGAGGAGUUCAAAUGUUUAUCAUAGCAACAUGAAUCAGUCCAAAGACAAGCCUGCAGAGUGCAUUGAGUAAGCUGCAUAUUUUCUACAUGCAUACAACUUUGUCUCUACUGUUUUUAUCAUACCCUUCUAAAAAUGACAGUGUGUAUUAGAAUUUGCUUACUCUGUGUUUUAAGAUCAAUGUUAAGCCUUGUGGCCUUGUGAAGUUUGGUACCCAAGUAUUGUUUUUACUGCUACAUUUUAUGACUUUGUUUAUUUUGAAGCAGUUUAAUUUUAAAUGUAAAAGUUUAAAAUGUGGAUAUGUAAGUUGCUGUUCUAAGCAACACUGUAUGGGAUGUUUUUUAUUAUUCUGAAGUUUGUAAAUGUGAUUUGCAACAUUUGGAUGUUUUUUUUUAACAAAACUUUAUAUCAGUACAUGGAUUGAUGUUUGGAACAGCUAUUGUGGAUGUUGACACAUUUGAGCGACUGAUAACUUGAUUUUUUUUAAAGCUGGUACUGAAUAGGGCUGAAUGAAAACUAAGCAUUUUUCAUAAGAAUAAAAACAUCAUAACACAAAA